This is a non-coding RNA of Cordylochernes scorpioides, 82 nucleotides long. NCBI's taxonomy places the organism in Eukaryota, Metazoa, Arthropoda, Arachnida, Pseudoscorpiones, Chernetidae. The record is from the annotation of a GenBank genome assembly.
AGUAUCCAGGGGCGGGAAUCGAACCCACACCCUUCUGCUUACCGGGCAGGUGCCUUGUCCACUUUAAAUAUAAGUUAUGAAC